Molecule: small RNA, 776 nt
Filed under: Histoplasma capsulatum
Lineage: Eukaryota; Fungi; Ascomycota; Eurotiomycetes; Onygenales; Ajellomycetaceae
Also listed under: 1 other name
Description: hypothetical RNA
Source: RNAcentral
CAACAUCAACCGUGAUCACAACCGAUGCUUCACCUACAAUUGGGCAUGGAGAAUCCAUAUGUCUCUGCUAAAGCUGUGCAUGUGCUUCUUCGGCGCUUGUCGUGCGUUGUAAUUACUUACCACAUACCUGGAUCAACAGCGCGUUGACCACGCACCCAUCGCAUCUGGAAUCACAAUGAUGAGCUUGUGGGGCCUCUGGUCCCAGAAGGCAAUAGUUUCCGCUGACCCUAGUGGAAGCUACGAGCUCCAUCCCAACCGGUGAGUAUAAUGUAAAUAUGGCUAGAAAUCUAGACGUGUUAGGCGCCUGCUGGACUGGCGACAAGGCGUGUUUUUAGCCCCACCACUGACCACACACUACAGUUGGGUAGUUUCAGCUUGGGUAAGAGUCUUCUGCAAUGUAGAUAUUGCGUCAUGCGAUUACAUCGUUCUGGGAUUUUCUUCCUAGUGGUGAUGUCUUGCGAUUUUGAACCGCACGAAGCGGCCUUAAUGUUAUGAGCACAUAUGAGAUGCAGAAUUAUGAAUGAAUGGAGAGAGGAAAGGGGGAUUGAGGGAGAUUGCAUAUCGAUUUUGAAGAGUCAACGAUGAAUUGAUUUGGCUUGAUUCAUUCAUUUUUUGGGUGCCGUGAGGGCUUCGGCGGGAAAGCAGGAACAAUCAACUAACAAUCGUUAGACGAACCUGCACGUAGUAAUAAUAAAAUUAUUACAAGAGCCUCGGAUUAUCAUUAAUACUGAUUAUUUAUUUAUUUAUUUAUUUGUUUUUUUUUGCUAAUAUUCAAC